GGUUAAGCGAUUAAGCGUACACGGUGGAUGCCCUGGCAGUCAGAGGCGAUGAAGGGCGUGCUAAUCUGCGAUAAGCGCCGGUAAGGUGAUAUGAACCGUUAUAACCGGCGAUACCCGAAUGGGGAAACCCAGUGUGACUCGUCACACUAUCAUUAACUGAAUCCAUAGGUUAAUGAGGCGAACCGGGGGAACUGAAACAUCUAAGUACCCCGAGGAAAAGAAAUCAACCGAGAUUCCCCCAGUAGCGGCGAGCGAACGGGGAGGAGCCCAGAGCCUGAAUCAGCAUGUGUGUUAGUGGAAGCGUCGUAGGAAAGGCGCGCGAUACGAGGGUGACACGCCCCGUACAACAAAAGCG
RNAcentral lists this ribosomal RNA (355 nucleotides) under Salmonella enterica subsp. enterica serovar Agona str. ATCC 51957. Its description in RNAcentral is "bacterial LSU rRNA". It matches the Rfam family "Bacterial large subunit ribosomal RNA", at positions 1 to 387 of the family's 2925-position model. The record is from RNAcentral. Lineage: Bacteria; Pseudomonadati; Pseudomonadota; Gammaproteobacteria; Enterobacterales; Enterobacteriaceae.